GAAAGAAAGAAAGAAAGAAAGAAAGAAAGAGAAAGAAGCCAAGUCUUUAAGACCUAGUGUCAAAUCCUAGGAAGGUCAAGAGUAAUGACUCCUGAAUUUCAAUCUUGACUUCUUCCCUGACAACAAUAGGAACAAAGUUCUUUCUGUGAACUUGACUAGGGAAUUAAUUCCCAGGGGAUAGAAAAAACUUCUAGGAGGUAGAACAGGCUUGGGCGAUUUUUUUGUGAAAAAAGAGUAAAUUUAAAACAAGUUUCUUGAUGCACUCCACCACCACCUCAGAAUUUUUUCCCACAAAGGGAAAAUUUAAUACCCUUAUCUUUUGUAAAAAAAAAUUAAUGCAUUCUCAUUGUAAAAACGUAAACGUGACAAAAUGCAUAAAGAGUACAAAUUCUCUUUGACGACCCACUUCCUACUGUGCCCUCCAGAGUCUGAUGCUUAACCAACUGAGCCCCCCAGGCACCUAAGUGGUAAAUUCGUUUAAAUGAUUAUCAAUGUCCUAACACUCUGCUCUAUUUUUUAAUCCCUAUUUAAAACUUUGAUAGUGUCGCAUUUGCUUUGUUGUACUUUUUCCUGAGAAAACCUAGAAAUGUUCAUUUGUCUCUGUAUUUAAUUGGCAAAAACUUAAUGGUCUAUGAUGUCUCAAGCCCUGGGUAAGACCAUGAAUUAAAAUGAAUAGAGAAGUCUGUCACCACAUUGACAGUCCGGAAGAAACAGAUCAGUACACUCAGAAGUGGUAAGGGAAAGAAAUGCAUGAAGACGCUAUGAAAGCAUAACGGCUGGGUACCUAAAGAAAUAGGAGGGGGAGCCUGGCUGGCUCACUUGGUUAAGCAUCCGACUCUUGAUUUUGGCUUAGGUCAUGAUCUCUGGGUUGUGGGAUCAAGCCCUGAGUUGGGCUCCCUGCUCAACAGGAAGCCUGCUUCUUCCUCUCCCUCUCCCCCGCUUCUAUUUCCUCUCUGUGUCUCUCUCUGUCAAAUACAUAAAUAAAAUCUUAACAAAAAAAACAAAAACCAAGAAACCGGAGAGAGCAGAUAGGCUUCUGAGCAUAUGUAAAGAGUGGGGGAGCAUCCAAAAAAUAAAUAAGAGUUCAUCAAUAGUCACAAGGAGGAAGGGCGUUCCACACAGAAGGAAUAACGAAUCUGUGAAGCAUUGGGGUACCUGUGGAGAACUGCGGGCAGCUCUCUGUGGCUGUAGUGUGGGUGAUAUGGAGAUGGAAGGCUGGAGAAUUAGGUAGAAUGCAGUGGGGGUGGAGGGUGGAGAAGGACCUUGUGCUGAGGAGUUUGGAUUUUAUCCUGAAGGCAACUAGAAGCCACCAAAGGGUGAUGAGCAGCUGUGUGACAUAAAAUUUGUAUACCUGAUGGAUUAUUUUUUGGCAAUGAUGGAAGAUGGCCUAGAUGAGACUAGAGGCAGAGACAAUUUAGGGCCAGUGGCAGAAAUCCAAGUGACAAGUCUAGAAGACCUGUGCAAGUGAAUACGGAUCCAUGUUAAGUGAAUGAAAGAGGAUGGAAUUAGCUCUUUAGCACAACGGAGGCCACUGUGGUUGAAUAUAUGCUUGACACUUCAUGCUUACUAAGUUUUCAGUACUUAUUAUUAAUAUUUUAAUCUAUUGUUUUCCAGAGUAUUAAAAAAAAAUCUAUUCUUAAAUUUGAUCUGCACACAGGAGCACCUGGCUGGCUUCAUUGACCAGAAGCUGUGUCGGAAGCAUCCUGAUGCAGCCUUCCGUGGGGUCAAUGCAGCAGAGAAGCCUUCGGCCAGCAUCCACCAUCAAUUCUCCAGCUCUGUGAGGGCAACCUGUAUCAGCGAGCAAGGAGAGCUGGUUUGGGGGAACUCAGAAGCCUAGGCAUUGUGAAGGCGGCUCCUACCGGAAGACGGAGCUUCUUCAAACUGUAAAAAGUCUACAUUCUCUUUUCUAUGUUCUAAUGAGGAUUCUCAGGUAAGUGGUAAAGGCUAAGGCUUUUCCACCUUAAGAUCAUGCAGGGCUCUUUAUCUUGGGAGCUUACAAACCUUCCCUUGGAUUGUUUUUCUUUUCUUCCUGCUGUGGUUCAUCAGCAUUUUCAGGAAGCCACUGAAUUCCCAGGAGGGACCACAUUUCUUCAUGUUUCUUUGGAUGAUUGACCUAGACUGCCCAGCCUGGGCCACUCCUGCUGUUCUAUUCCUCUCUGUCUCUUGUCUUGGGCCCAUGUGACCAUGUGACACACCAGACACCUGGCAUUUCCCCAGGGCUGAAGCGCCAACUGGUGUAAAUGUGUUUGACUUCAUGGCAGCAGACUCCUGGUUUCCUGCUGCCAAGGCUGCAUUUAACCUAAAGUUACCCUUAGGCAGGGCAGCGGGUUACCAGGGUAUGAGUCAGCCGGUGUAGCAUCUGACUUCUUUUUUACUCUUAAAGGUACCUGGAACAGGGACAGUCAGCGUGGUAGACCAUAGAGAUAAGUUCCAGGAAACUUUGAAUCGCAGCCAAAAAUCACCCAGACACAAUGCAAUCAGAUUCACUUCACUUUUAUUAUGAACAAACACAAUUUCAGAUCAGUACAACUAAGCUUCAGAGUUGAUAUUAAUAGAAAUUAUUCCAAAAUUAUCCUUAGGUCACAAAUAACUACUAUCCCACAUAAAAGGGGAAAAAAAUCCCACCCAAUCAAGGAAAAGGUAUCCUGUGUAUCGUUUCCAUGGCAAUAAGUUUAUGCAUUCUCAAAUUUUGUCUGUCUAGUUAUCCACCACUAAUCCAAUGGAUUUAUCCAAUCUCUCAGAGAGAAUCAUAUCGAUUAAUGAUAGCAUCCGGGACACACGGUUCAUGGUGGACACAAGUUCACGGUGGAUACUGCUACUAUAAAAAUACUCAGGACUUAAAAGAAUUCCUCUGCUGAAGGAUCCCAAAAUGCUUUAUAAAAAGCAUUAGUCACGCCUCAAAACUGCCCUGUGAGGUAGGUCAGUAUUAUUAUCCCAUUUUAACAGAAGGAAAACUGAGGCACAUUAUAGUUAAGUGACUUGCCCAGGGUCACACAGCAAGUCAGUGGCACAGUGGUAGGAGAGGCGCUGGCCUUAACCACCCGCGUCAUGUGGACACCUUGCUUUCUUUGACCUUCCACGCUGACCCAUUUGAGCUAUACUCACAGAGAAUACACUCAGGAUACUAGCAAACCAAGGAGAAAAAGUUUCCAUUUUAAAUGCUACAACCAUCUUUUAAUCUAAAAAAUAUCGUAAAUCAAAUACAUUCAGAUUACUUCCACCCUCCAUCAAAUUUGGGCACUUAAUAAAAACAGCCCUAAGAAAAAGUUUCCAAAAUGAAGCCCAGAAGGGAAUCCUGUGAACAGCUACACUGAUCAUUCUCCAGCCAGGCCCCCUCUUCUACCAGCCACUUCUGCAGGGUCUCAGGUGCAAAGGAACUCCACGGAGGGAGGGAGGAGGGAGUGAGAGCAGGCUCAUAUGCAACACUGAUUAGAAAAGAUGUAAGGCACCCAAAUAAGUUGUCGGCACACCCACAAAGCAAGGACUGUUAGAAUUUCAGACUUGAGUUUCUGGAUCAUUAAUGUGUCAACUGAACUCAGCUUUAAAAUCUUGAAGACAAGUUUUCCUUACUUAGCAGACACCCCUCUACCUCCACAUUCUCCUAUACGGAGGGGCCCUCGGCCUGAGGACCCUGUCCAACCUUGUGUAGGGUCAUGGUACGGACCAGAUCCCUGGGACAGGAUUAGAACAGAAAGAUAGACUUGGUUUUGGUCCAAAAUUAUAAAGCAGGCAUCUGAUAACCUGUUGAACUGAAACUACCCAACAGGCAUUUCCAAGGGCUAAGUCCACAAGCCAGCAGAUCUGAACUACAGUGAUGUUCCAUUAGACUCUUUUCUACUGAGAGGAACAGCUCUAAAGGUGUGGAUGCCUUUAGUCCACUUGUAGCCUCUGGCUAUUCAAUACAUACAGGAGGAAAGGCCCUCUUCCCUUCCACUACUGGGGCUCCACAGUACAGAGAGCAUUUGGUAUUAUACAUUUCCAAUCUUUCAGAGAGUAAAGCCAGGCUUUUGCAUUGAUGACUGAGAUACAGGGACAGGGGUAGUCCAAGGUUCUCAAAACACUGAUGCUUUUCUUCAGACCUCUUCUACACUACCCUGGCUGUGGCCCUAGGCUGUUGGUGGGGAAUGCUGGUUAGCUUGCCAAACAGAAAUGCUGUUCAGCAAAGUUCAUGGCAUUUCAGAUCCCAAGUCUCAGGCUUUGCAAUACACCCUGACUCCAGGGAACAGGGCCUCCUUUUGCAUGAGGCACUUUGGAACUUUCCUUUGCUUCUUGUGCUUCGCAGUGAAGACUAGGCUCCCUCCUACUUCUACAAGCAUUGCACUGUCCGCUGGGAGCACAGACUCGGGCUGGGCAGGCGUACCGAGCGGGACAGAGGAGGCUAAAAAACAAACCCUUUUCUUGCUCCAUGGCUGCCUCACUGGCACAAUCCAAGCCUCUGGCCUGGUUGUGCCUCAUGAGAGUGCCUGAGCCAGGGAUGUUUCUAGUAAGGUUUGCCAGCCUCCUCUUGAGUCAUCAGUGUGGCAGGGGAGCUCAAGGGUGUAGGUGGAGGGCCUCUGGAGGCCAAGUGAAAGUGGUAGCUAACUUUAUAAAGAGAAACAGUGGUGCAGUGACCCUGAGCGUUCUGUCUGCAGGAGAGGGAGCUGCCUGGUGAGCAAGAACCAUCACUACCUCCGAGUACACACAGAGGAGGCUUCCUGUCCAGAGAGAGAAGAAGACAUCAGGGAGAAGACAGAACCAGGGAGGGGAGGGAUGCACAGAUAGGGUAGAGCCAGGAAUCAAACCCCACAGUAAUUAAUAAGAGAUUCCUACCUCGCCCCCCAGGCAGUCCUACACUUUACGCUAAAAGUUAACUGAGAAGGACUGGGAGAAAUGGUUCAGCACUGCAGGGAAAAGCCUUCUAGUUUGUACUCAUUCCAAGGAGAAACUAGAAUGAAUGAAUGAACGUAACAUUUCAUUUGUUUGUAUAACCAGCUUCUAAAUCAGGACACCCAAUGACUUACUCAGCAGUAACCUUCUGAAUCCCCUGGCAAUGUGUUCUCGGAGCCCUUCCUUUGUAAAGUCAUCUCUUAGGAACUGCCAACAGACCUAGCCCUGAACCUCUCCAUCUCCUGUCCAGCAGUGAGAGGAGAGUAGACAACCCACCUCAUUUCUCCUCUCCUUCAAGCACCCCUCUCUCAGAGGGAAAUACCCUAAGUGAAUUACUUGAACGUUCCAAGCAGAGUGUGUAUGUAUAUAUAUUUUGAUGUUGAACCCAACUCCACCGCUUAGAAGCCUUCCUUUUUUGGAAGACUGCUACGCUCACCACUAUGCCACAAACACGUUCCUUUUUUGGAUGUCUGGAAAUGCUUCAGACACCUUAUUACCAUGAUGGGAGAUGACCGAUGGCCCGAGGAUGGCAGAGCAGAAAGAUGAAAGAAUUUUGAUGAUUCAGUGAUCUGCUAGAUUCUCCCAAUUCUGGAAACAACCAACCUCAAGAUUUCUCAUCAUAUGGAGUAAGAAAUCUUCCUGUUAUUCAAGGAAAAAAAAAAAAAAAUCCUUCCCCAGGAGAGACCACUUUUACUACAAACUAAAUGCUGCUUCUUUAUCUCCAACCUAAACUACACUGGGACAUUGAGAUUUGCUUUUGUGUUCUAGCAUUGCUGGGCUCUAUGGCCAUUCCCUAUUCAGAGUGAGGAGAGAAAGGAGGCAUGCCGUCUGGUGGGGCUCCAGGUCCUCACUAGGCAAGCAACCGUGUGUAUCCAAUCCCAGCAGGAGCUCCCUGCCUUGUUUCCCACCUCACCCCAUCUUUACCUCUCAAUCAUACCAUGCACGCGAACUCUCUCCCCUGCCGGUUUACCUGCUUUAGAAGCUUUGUGCCAAAUAAAGUUAUUUUCCAUUCCAACUCGCAAAA
This is a long non-coding RNA of Mustela lutreola (European mink), 5890 nucleotides long. RefSeq lists it as uncharacterized. The record is from RefSeq and is a predicted model, not a curated record. NCBI's taxonomy places the organism in Eukaryota, Metazoa, Chordata, Mammalia, Carnivora, Mustelidae. The transcript is spliced from 3 exons.